AGAAUUAUUGAAUACUUGAUGGGGUUGUAGCUGGCUCUUUAGGGAGUAUGUGCUCGCCCUGUCACCUUUAUCUUUCCACCUGUGCACUUCUUGUAGAUUUGGAUGUAGAUUUUCCGAGGUCAACUCGGUUGGGAGGAAUGUCAAUUGAGUUUGACUUUUCUUGUAUGUCCAAGUCUAUGUUUUCAUAUACUCCAAAGAAUGUAACAGAAUGUAUUAUUGGGCCCCUGUGCCUAUAAAACUUUAUACAACUUUCAGCAACGGAUCUCUUGGCUCUCGCAUCGAUGAAGAACGCAGCGAAAUGCGAUAAGUAAUGUGAAUUGCAGAAUUCAGUGAAUCAUCGAAUCUUUGAACGCACCUUGCGCCCCUUGGUAUUCCGAGGGGCAUGCCUGUUUGAGUGUCAUUAAAUUCUCAACCUUACUAGUUUCUUCUGAGCUAUGUAAUGGCUUGGAUGUGGGGGUCUUUUUGCUGGCGUCGAAAGAAGUCAGCUCCCCUAAAAUACAUUAGCCGGUACCCCCGCGUAGACCGUCUAUUGGUGUGAUAAUUAUCUACGCCGUUGGAUGUCUGCUAUUAAAUGGGAGAGUGCUGCUUAUAAUCUGUCUUCUCUGAAGACAAUUAUUGACCAUUUGACCUCAAAUCAGGUAGGACUAC
Molecule: ribosomal RNA, 648 nt
Filed under: Gymnopilus flavus
Lineage: Eukaryota; Fungi; Basidiomycota; Agaricomycetes; Agaricales; Galerinaceae
Description: eukaryotic LSU rRNA
Rfam family: 5.8S ribosomal RNA (bases 247-400)
Source: RNAcentral